Molecule: transfer RNA, 76 nt
Filed under: Sphingobacteriia bacterium
Lineage: Bacteria; Pseudomonadati; Bacteroidota; Sphingobacteriia
Description: tRNA-Lys
Rfam family: tRNA
About the family: Transfer RNA (tRNA) molecules are approximately 80 nucleotides in length. Their secondary structure includes four short double-helical elements and three loops (D, anti-codon, and T loops).
Source: RNAcentral
GUGCCCGUAGCUCAGUCGGUAGAGCAACUGACUUUUAAUCAGUAGGUCACAGGUUCGAAUCCUGUCGGGCACACCA